GAUGAACGCUGGCGGCGUGCCUAAUACAUGCAAGUCGAACGCUUCACUUCGGUGAAGAGUGGCGAACGGGUGAGUAAUACAUAAGUAACCUGGCAUCUACAGGGGGAUAACUGAUGGAAACGUCAGCUAAGACCGCAUAGGUGUAGAGAUCGCAUGAACUCUAUAUGAAAAGUGCUACGGGACUGGUAGGUGAUGGACUUAUGGCGCAUUAGCUUGUUGGUAGGGUAACGGCCUACCAAGGCGACGAUGCGUAGCCGACCUGAGAGGGUGACCGGCCACACUGGGACUGAGACACGGCCCAGACUCCUACGGGAGGCAGCAGUAGGGAAUUUUCGGCAAUGGGGGAAACCCUGACCGAGCAACGCCGCGUGAAGGAAGAAGUAAUUCGUUAUGUAAACUUCUGUCAUAGAGGAAGAACGGUGGAUAUAGGGAAUGAUAUCCAAGUGACGGUACUCUAUAAGAAAGCCACGGCUAACUACGUG
Molecule: ribosomal RNA, 482 nt
Filed under: uncultured bacterium
Lineage: Bacteria
Description: partial 16S ribosomal RNA
Rfam family: Bacterial small subunit ribosomal RNA
Source: RNAcentral